This 165-nucleotide ribosomal RNA is filed under the name Alyssum gmelinii. RNAcentral's name for it is "5.8S ribosomal RNA". It matches the Rfam family "5.8S ribosomal RNA". From Rfam's summary of the family: 5.8S ribosomal RNA (5.8S rRNA) is a component of the large subunit of the eukaryotic ribosome. It is transcribed by RNA polymerase I as part of the 45S precursor that also contains 18S and 28S rRNA. The record is from RNAcentral. Lineage: Eukaryota; Viridiplantae; Streptophyta; Magnoliopsida; Brassicales; Brassicaceae.
AAAACGACUCUCGGCAACGGAUAUCUCGGCUCUCGCAUCGAUGAAGAACGUAGCGAAAUGCGAUACUUGGUGUGAAUUGCAGAAUCCCGUGAACCAUCGAGUCUUUGAACGCAAGUUGCGCCCUAAGCCUUCUGGUCGAGGGCACGUCUGCCUGGGUGUCACAAA